AUGUACUCUUAGAGAAAUUCAAUAAUAAACGAAGUGAAUUGAAAUAUCUUAGUAACUUUAGGAAAAGAAAUCAAACGAGAUUCUAUGAUUAGUGUGAAUGAAAGUAGAACAGCCUAUAAAUUCUCAGAAUAUAUUAUAUUAAAUAAGUAAAACGGGCAAUAACCUGUUUGAAUACAAGGGGAACCUUCCUCUAAGGCUAAAUAUAAUACAUAAGCGAUAGCGUAAAGUACUGUGAAGGAAAGGUUGAAAUAGUAGUUUUAUAAGCAGCUCAAGUUUAAAUAAAUAGUAAGAGCGUACCUUUUGCAUAAUGGGUCAGCAAGUUAAUAUUAGAUGCGAGCAGUAAUGCCUAGAUAAACCAAUUAUGAAAUAAUGAAUUAGUAUCUAAAAUUAGACCCGAAGCCUAGUGAUCUUACCAUGGUCAGGAUUAUAAAAGUCCGAACGGGUUAUCGUUGUAAAGAUAUCCGAUGAACUGUGGUAAGUUAGUGAAAGACAAAACUGACUAGAAUAGCUGGUUUUCUGCGAAACCUAUAUAAGUAGGAAAAUUCAAGUUACAUCAUAGCAGGUACAGAACUGUGAUCUCAGGCAACUUAUAAUUUCUUAUCUAGGCGUUGCCUAGAUAAGAAAUAAUUUUGCAUAUAUCGGGGAAUCGUGAGGAUUUUAUCGGUGAGUAUUCGCACUCGGAAGGGCAAUGAUGAACAUAAAAAUGUAUUGAAUAGUCGGACAUAGUACGAUAAGGUUGUAUGUCUAAAGGGAAACAGCCCAGAACAAGAGUUAAGGUUCCAAAAUUAUUGUUAAGUGAAACUAAGGAAGUUUCUAUCUAAUACAACUAGGAAAUAGGCUUAGAAGCGGCUAUUUUUUGAAGACCUCGUAACAGAGCACUGGUUUAGUAAAAACUUUACAUUGAUAGUUGCACCGAAAAUUUAACGGAUCUAAACAAUAUACCGACACCUUGUCCAUAUUGUUAAAUAUAAUAUAGAAUUUAACUAUGGGGUAGCAGAACGUUGGGUAAAUCUUAGACAUAUUCUUUUUAAGAAUAUAGAGUAAUAACGAGUAAUAUCGUAUGAGAGCCCUGAAUUAAUGGUAACCCAAUAUAAGGUAAAGAAUAGGAAGCAUGGAAUAGUGUUGUACGACUGUUUAAUUAAAACAAAGCACUUUGCAAUAAGAUAAUAAAUCAAAGUAUUGAGUGUGAUUUCUGCCCAAUGUCGGCUGGUUAACGGAUUUUCUGGGUUGACUAAUAUAAGCUUGGAUUUGAAGGAAACCCCGAUCAAUGGCGGCCUUACCUAUGAGGGUCCUAAGGUAGCGGAAUACCCUGGCCGUUAAAUGCGGUCUUGCAUGAAUGAUUUAACGAUACAACAGCUGUCUCAAUGAUUGGCUCAGUGAAAUUGGAAUAACUGUGCAGAUACAGUUUACCUCUAGAUAGACGAGAAGACCCUAUGCAGCUUUACUGUUGCUAGUUAUUGAAUAUGAUUGAACCAAUAUUAGUGUAUAAGGUAGUUGGAGGCAAUUUUUUAAACCUCUCGUAGGCUAUAGAGUCUACGUCAUAAUAUAAGGUGCGUUAUUAUUACGUUAUUAAGUAUUAUAAUUAACCCAUCAUAAGGGAACAAUGGCUAGGAGGCAGUUUAUGCGGGGCACAGAUCCCAUAAAAAGUACCUGGGUGUAUCCAAAG
This 1666-nucleotide ribosomal RNA is filed under the name Monilinia fructicola. RNAcentral's name for it is "large subunit ribosomal RNA". It matches the Rfam family "Bacterial large subunit ribosomal RNA", at positions 140 to 2315 of the family's 2925-position model. The record is from RNAcentral. Lineage: Eukaryota; Fungi; Ascomycota; Leotiomycetes; Helotiales; Sclerotiniaceae.